This 73-nucleotide transfer RNA is filed under the name Hadesarchaea archaeon. Its description in RNAcentral is "tRNA-Thr". It matches the Rfam family "tRNA". Rfam says of the family: Transfer RNA (tRNA) molecules are approximately 80 nucleotides in length. Their secondary structure includes four short double-helical elements and three loops (D, anti-codon, and T loops). Further hydrogen bonds mediate the characteristic L-shaped molecular structure. tRNAs have two regions of fundamental functional importance: the anti-codon, which is responsible for specific mRNA codon recognition, and the 3' end, to which the tRNAs corresponding amino acid is attached (by aminoacyl-tRNA synthetases). tRNAs cope with the degeneracy of the genetic code in two manners: having more than one tRNA (with a specific anti-codon) for a particular amino acid; and 'wobble' base-pairing, i.e. permitting non-standard base-pairing at the 3rd anti-codon position. Lineage: Archaea; Methanobacteriati; Hadarchaeota (SeqCode); Hadarchaeia (SeqCode). The record is from RNAcentral.
GCCCCGGUAGCUCAGCCGGCAGAGCAACCGCCUUGUAAGCGGUGGGUCGUGGGUUCGAUUCCCACCCGGGGCU